This 373-nucleotide ribosomal RNA is filed under the name uncultured organism. RNAcentral's name for it is "partial 16S ribosomal RNA". It matches the Rfam family "Bacterial small subunit ribosomal RNA", at positions 527 to 896 of the family's 1533-position model. The record is from RNAcentral.
GUAGGUGGCAAGCGUUGUCCGGAAUUAUUGGGCGUAAAGCGCGCGCAGGCGGUUCUUUAAGUCUGAUGUGAAAGCCCACGGCUCAACCGUGGAGGGUCAUUGGAAACUGGAGAACUUGAGUACAGUAGAGGAAAGCGGAAUUCCACGUGUAGCGGUGAAAUGCGUAGAGAUGUGGAGGAACACCAGUGGCGAAGGCGGCUUUCUGGUCUGUAACUGACGCUGAGGCGCGAAAGCGUGGGGAGCAAACAGGAUUAGAUACCCUGGUAGUCCACGCCGUAAACGAUGAGUGCUAAGUGUUAGGGGGGUUUCCGCCCCCCUUAGUGCUGCAGCUAACGCAUUAAGCACUCCGCCUGGGAGUACGGCCGCAAGGCUG